RNAcentral lists this ribosomal RNA (497 nucleotides) under uncultured bacterium. Its description in RNAcentral is "partial 16S ribosomal RNA". It matches the Rfam family "Bacterial small subunit ribosomal RNA", at positions 28 to 507 of the family's 1533-position model. The record is from RNAcentral.
GAUGAACGCUGGCGGCGUGCCUAAUACAUGCAAGUCGAGCGCACGGGCGAGAAGCUUGCUUCUCUGGUGUUAGCGGCGGACGGGUGAGUAACACGUGGGUAACCUACCUAUAAGACGGGGAUAACUUCGGGAAACCGGAGCUAAUACCGGAUAAUAUUUUGAACCGCAUGGUUCAAAAGUGAAAGACGGACUUGCUGUCACUUAUAGAUGGAUCCGCUCUGCAUUAGCUAGUUGGUAAGGUAACGGCUUACCAAGGCAACGAUGCAUAGCCGACCUGAGAGGGUGAUGGGCCACCCUGGACCUGAGCCACGGCCCAGACUCCUACGGGAGGCAGCAGUAGGGAAUCUUCCGCAAUGGGCGAAAGCCUGACGGAGCAAGGCCGCGGGAGGGAUGAAGUUCUUCGGAUCGUAAACCCCUGUUAUUAGGGAAGAACAUAUGUGUAAGUAACUGUGCACAUCUUGACGGUACCUAAUCAGAAAGCCACGGCUAACUACGUG